UUCUCUUCUCAUAUCAAGACAAUACAAUUGUCCUUGCUAUUAUGUUAAAUCAAUGACAAAUUCACCAAAAAAAACAUGGCUAACCUAAGCCCUAAUCAGGUCAUGAUCCAUAACUAUGGCUUCACUUUCAGAGAAUCCUCAAUUCGUUAGAUGAGUUGUUUGGUUGCCAAGGUACACUCCUGAGUCCUGUAGAAGUCAGAAAGAAAGAAAAUAAUUUUGAGUGAAAUCAAAGGUUCUUGAAAAGUAAAAAUUAACGUAAAUCAAAGACAUUAAGAAAUUGUCUUUCAGGGGUGCACUCACUUCAGGGACAGCACCUGCCAAACCAAAGAUUACAGACUGAUUCAAUCGCUUUCCAAAAAACUCUAAGCUUGGAACUAUUCACAGUCUGUUAACCGAAUAACCUCAAUAUGCAAACAGACUACACUUCAUCCCAAACUACACCAACAAUACAAAGAAUGUGAUGCAUAGUUAACAAUCUUUAUAAAGAGAAUAUAACCAAAGCAUAUAGUUAAAAGUCCUUUCAAAGAGAAGUACCAAAACAUGUUAUCAUGAAUGACUUGGCUUCUCCUGUAUAUAAAUUAAGAAUUAAGAAUAGUUCAUGGAGUGAAUUUAGAAUAGUUAGGGAAAGGAAAGAAAAAACUAAUUUAGACCAAACGUGCCAUUGCUCUGUGGUAAGAAGAACACUUUACAGGCUUUGCUUCUCGUGCAUAGAGUGUUAUUUAUCAUAAUGCAAAGUAGGGUACACUACAUGCAUUGGUCAUGAUCUUAAAAACAAAAAGCUAAUAUAAAGAUAGCCGUUACUUCCCGCCAAAGCAACCGUGAUAGUUAGAAAGUAGCCAAC
Molecule: long non-coding RNA, 841 nt
Filed under: Brassica rapa (field mustard)
Lineage: Eukaryota; Viridiplantae; Streptophyta; Magnoliopsida; Brassicales; Brassicaceae
Description: long non-coding RNA (BRAP_LNC001097)
Source: RNAcentral